Hyphomicrobium sp. MC1 is the source of this 53-nucleotide small RNA. It matches the Rfam family "ffh sRNA". The record is from Rfam. NCBI's taxonomy places the organism in Bacteria, Pseudomonadati, Pseudomonadota, Alphaproteobacteria, Hyphomicrobiales, Hyphomicrobiaceae.
GAGGCAGGGGGGUUAACAUCCGGCAGCGCGUUGCGCCCCCGGGUGCGUUUGUG